Molecule: ribosomal RNA, 383 nt
Filed under: uncultured eukaryote
Lineage: Eukaryota
Description: partial 18S ribosomal RNA
Rfam family: Eukaryotic small subunit ribosomal RNA
Source: RNAcentral
CAAUAGCGUAUAUUAAAGUUGUUGCAGUUAAAAAGCUCGUAGUUGGAUUUCUGGCAGGAGCGACCGGUCACACACUCUGUGUGUGAACUUGCGUUGUCUCUGGCCAUCCUUGUGAAGAUCCUGUUUGGCAUUAAGUUGUCGGGCAGGGGAUACCCAUCGUUUACUGUGAAAAAAUUAGAGUGUUUAAAGCAGGCUUAUGCCGUUGAAUAUAUUAGCAUGGAAUAAUAAGAUAGGACUUCGGAACUAUUUUGUUGGUUUGCGUUACGAAGUAAUGAUUAAUAGGGACAGUUGGGGGUAUUCGUAUUUCGUUGUCAGAGGUGAAAUUCUUGGAUUUCCGAAAGACGAACUACUGCGAAAGCAUUUACCAAGGAUGUUUNCAUUAA